Molecule: long non-coding RNA, 1570 nt
Filed under: Canis lupus familiaris (dog)
Lineage: Eukaryota; Metazoa; Chordata; Mammalia; Carnivora; Canidae
Description: lncRNA (ENSCAFG00845001476.1)
Source: RNAcentral
CAAGACUUCCUGGUCAUUAUAUCUGUUUCACACUCUGAACUGCCUUCCAGUUAUUGUGAGGGCUGGGUACAACUGCCCUUGGCUGCCAUAAUAUUUUAGUAUUUCUUUGUGAGUAUUCUUAUCUCAAGUCUCCACUAAUUAAGAUGAAUUGGGAGAGUCUUUUUUUUUUUUUUUUCUUCUUCUUGUAACUGAGAGUCUGACAAAUGUAUGUUAGGAUGUUAGAGUGACUUUUUGGUUGUCUCACCAGAUGGUAUGACAGGUGACAAAUGCCCCCACUUCCCCACUCAUGAAAUGUUGGACCCCCCCUAGGAAGGACAUGGCUGAGAGACAGUGAGCUGGUAUUGCCAGCAUUCACCCCUCAGAUGCUCUAGGAGAGGGUGAAGAGGGUGAAGAAUCAUCGUGAGUGUGGGCAAUGAGAAUUCUUGGGGAGAGUUGUCAGUGUGCCUUGCUUGGGGAGGAGAGAGAGCUUCCAUGGGGCUGUAAACCAAAUGAAGCUUCAGAGAUCCAGGUGAAGGGACUGGUACAUGUCUUUUUCUUGCCAGAGCCAGCACAGUAAGGCAAGAAGAUGAAGAUAGAAGAAAUGUACUUCCGGUGGUGGAGGAGCUUAAGGUGUGAACAGGCCUGGAAGCAUUCUGUGGCUCUGAAAUGUAAUCGGGAGAGGGAAGUGGUGAGAAGGGAAGGAGAAGGAGAGAAGGAGACAGAUAUGGAGAGAGACGGCAGAGAGCCACGUAAUGAUGGAAGGACCUAAAGGUAAAAGGAACAUGGGAUGGAAGCAGACAGACAUACUAAGUAAAAUUUGCCCUGCUAAAAAGUCAGAUCGUCUUGGUCCCGUCUUGCUCCUCCUCCUUCCCAGACCAGGUGCCAUUUCCUAAGCACACUGGACGCUCUCACAAGCUGGCACUUUUGAUGAUGUAUCUUUCUGCCCAGGACACCAUUCCCUUCACUUUCUUGACAUUUCCAACUGCCAGAAACCCAGGAACUGGUUCUGGUAGCUUUCUCCAAAACCCACAGAUAGGAUGAGUGCUUCUCUCUUCUGAACACCCACAUCUCUUUGGAAAUACCCCUGUCGUGGCCGUUAUUCCAAUCUGCCUGAUGAGAAGCAGGUGUCUGUCCCAGUAGACGGUGAGCUCUUUGCCGGUGGGCGGGCAAGCGUCUUAAUCACUUUGUGCUCUUUCCAGCUAGGCACAGCCCCUGAAGAGUCCAGCAGCAAAGACUGAGAUGCCUUUUGCCAGUUGUCGUGUUUUACAGCUUCCCUUCCUUUGCUAAGACAUUACCACUAGAGCCCGACGGGCAUGGGUUAGGCGUUUCCAUCCCACGAGAAACCAGACAGGGCAUGGUUGUAGAUUAAUUUUAUAUCUCAUAUAGGGCUUAUAUUACAUCAUGAUAAUAUUUUCAGCCUUGUUACUUUGAAGUGCCUCUGGCACAGACUAGAAGACGCCCACUUGUCAAGUCCAAAGGAGGUAGGAAAAUUUGUGCCUGGAUACUGUCAGUGGUGUGGUAGGGAGGCGGCUCACCUGAAGAGACAGGUGCAUCACAGGUGGUUGUCACCAUGCUUGACUGUGGAUACAGC